AGUGAACGCUGGCGGUAGGCCUAACACAUGCAAGUCGAACGGCAGCACAGUAAGAGCUUGCUCUUACGGGUGGCGAGUGGCGGACGGGUGAGGAAUACAUCGGAAUCUACUUUUUCGCGGGGGAUAACGUAGGGAAACUUACGCUAAUACCGCAUACGACCUACGGGUGAAAGCAGGGGAUCUUCGGACCUUGCGCGAUUGAAUGAGCCGAUGUCGGAUUAGCUAGUUGGCGGGGUAAAGGCCCACCAAGGCGACGAUCCGUAGCUGGUCUGAGAGGAUGAUCAGCCACACUGGAACUGAGACACGGUCCGGACUCCUACGGGAGGCAGCAGUGGGGAAUAUUGGACAAUGGGCGCAAGCCUGAUCCAGCCAUACCGCGUGGGUGAAGAAGGCCUUCGGGUUGUAAAGCCCUUUUGUUGGGAAAGAAAAGCAGCAGGUUAAUACCCCGCUGUUCUGACGGUACCCAAAGAAUAAGCACCGGCUAACUUCGUG
Molecule: ribosomal RNA, 492 nt
Filed under: uncultured bacterium
Lineage: Bacteria
Description: partial 16S ribosomal RNA
Rfam family: Bacterial small subunit ribosomal RNA
Source: RNAcentral